RNAcentral lists this ribosomal RNA (304 nucleotides) under uncultured bacterium. Its description in RNAcentral is "bacterial SSU rRNA". It matches the Rfam family "Bacterial small subunit ribosomal RNA", at positions 57 to 390 of the family's 1533-position model. The record is from RNAcentral.
GCAGUCGAGCGAGACCUUCGGGUCUAGCGGCGGACGGGUGAGUAACGCGUGGGAACGUGCCCUUUGCUACGGAAUAGUCCCGGGAAACUGGGUUUAAUACCGUAUGUGCCCUUCGGGGGAAAGAUUUAUCGGCAAAGGAUCGGCCCGCGUUGGAUUAGGUAGUUGGUGGGGUAAUGGCCUACCAAGCCGACGAUCCAUAGCUGGUUUGAGAGGAUGAUCAGCCACACUGGGACUGAGACACGGCCCAGACUCCUACGGGAGGCAGCAGUGGGGAAUCUUAGACAAUGGGGGCAACCCUGAUCUA